AUUUAGUACAAUUUCCACUGUACUUUCAGAAAAUAGAUAUAAUGUGGUUCCAUUUUGCACGUAUAUAGGCUUUUUUUCCAAAGCAGGCAAAAACCAACCACAAUUUGAUUUGGAUAUCCUCCUCAGCAAAACCUUUUUUGCCUUGUACAGGCUUACAAAUGAAUCAUAAUACUGUUUCUUAGCAAAACAAAGACAGGACAAGAAACUCUCUAAAAUGGUAAAGAAAAAUAAAUAGACAACAACUAAUCAGACUACCCAAUGGACAGAGAAAAGAGAGGCUGCACAUGGAGUACUGAGCACUGAGCAUCCACCGACAAGUGGGAAAAUCAAGGUCUUCUACUUGCUUUCAGCAUUCUUUUGCCAGCUUGAUAAGCAUUGUUUGCAAUUAAUACCACCAACUGAUAUGACAUCAUCGGAAUAUAUAUAUAAAAAAUGAAAAUAAAAAAACCCUCCACUCCUGAUGCAGUAAUGCACCCAUAGUCAAAAUGGCUCAAGUCAAUUUUCUCAUAUUCAUCCAACAGUUUAGUGGUCAAAAUCGAUCAUAAGUUCAUAACACACCCUUUUAAAGGGUAUGCACAGGCCAUUUUGCGAAAAUUACCCUUUGUUCAUAUCGCUCGCAUUUAGUGAAAGGUAAAAGAGCAUAUUGUAGGAAGCAAUAAGAGCAAGAAAAAUUAUGAAUAACUAUGAUAAUAACAUUACUAGGAAGUAGGAACAGGACAAUCUAGAGACUUGAGACUGAAUUACUCAAGAGGCUGCGGGCUACAUGUUUUUCCUUAGUGCAGCCGCUUCAGCUUCUUAAACAUUUUCACCAACUAACACAGUAAACAGUGAAAAAGUAAACACCCACCCCUUUCUCCAAAACACGGAGUCCAUAGUAUAAAGAAAAAGGCUACCACAGACAACACUUUUCCCCUUUCCCCUGUCCACAACCAAAAUCCCCAUAUCUACUUUUCUUUACCCCCAUAUCAAAUUUUCCCGAGAAAAUUUAGGAAAAUCGAAGGAGGGAAACAUUAAUAUAGUCCAUAAAGUUCAAAGAAAAAAUUGAUUUGAAAAUAAAAUCAUGGGAAGGUAAAUUAGAUGCGGAAAUUCUUUCCCGUGAAGGUCUGACCGAACUGCCAAUUAGGUGGUGCGAUGUUCCAGGAAGUAGAUGUGCGCCUAUCACUGCCCGUGACCCUAAACGAAAGAGACUGCCCCACAAGCACUGCAUUUGAUUGCCAAUUUUGCCCCCAAUUUCUGCUCAUGGUCAGCCACCCUGUUUUUGAUCCCUUGAUGCUCACCUUCACUAUAUCCCCUGCACCUGCAACGUUCGUGAUCAGAACCAGAUUGAAGUAACGGAAUCCAUUUAUCGUGAAUCUAAUUCCGCCUUGCUUCCUGCAUGGUAUCCUGGAAACCCAAAAAGAAAAUGUGAAAUAAAUUAGUACUUUUUUUAAUUACCGAAUAGUCCCAAACAAAAAAGAAAAAAAUUCGUGGAUCUGAGGCUUUAUCUCUUUCUUUUGUUUUCAUCAUGGCGAGCGAUCCAACACACGCGUGGGAUAACGUGUAUUUUUGUCCCGUAAUUUUCACCCUUUUCCGGAUUUUUCGGGUCACUCUACUCAUGAAAGGUGAAGGUUAUCUUUGCCAUUUUAUAAAUAUGCAGUGCGUUCACCAGAAGGAGACUAGGGUGAGUUUAAAAAAUAAAUAUAAAUUUAUAAAUAUAUGGCUUACUGUACAUCGGGAGAUAUUGUAAUUUCUCCCCAACAAGUGACCAAUUGCUGAAAAGAAGAAACAGAUAGCCAUUAUGCGAAAAUUAUUCUUUUGAGGCCGUUCGCUUCCCGAGAAAAAUGCAUGAGAAAAAUAAAUGCUUUGAAAAAUAUGGCCAUCUCUCAUUUUUAAUAGCAAUCAAGCAAAAUAACCAGCGAAAACUGAAAUCAAAAAGGGGAGAAAUGAAAUCUGACCCAGAAAUUGUAAGCAAAAACAGAGGCAGAGAUGCUUAGUGCACUCACCGGCGGUAUGCCACGGGGACUAUUCCAGCGCGGUACUCGGCGAUCUUGAGGAACAUGGGCAUGGCGAGAUCGAAAUGGGGACGAGGUGGGUUGCACCACCCACCAUUGUCGCUGGGCAGAGCGUAGUUAGGAGGACAGAAGUUGGUCGCCGUUAUAAAGAUGGAUGGGUUACCGGGAUUGCACCAUCUGGGAUCGUUUGCACAUUUGAUCUCAAAGCAAGCACCGCAACUAAGGCCAUUGUUGAAGAGUGCUGUGCUCAGCGCUGCUGUGUUCACUCCAUACCCUUGGCUGUAAAGAUUCCCAUACCCACAAGCGCCGCCCAUAGUUCCAGAGGCGUCGCUGCCACCAUAGAAAGUAGCAUGGGCACUUUCCCAAGGGCCACCGGUGUAAACCCCAGGGAUUCUUGCGUUAGCCACCACGAAAAGCGACACCAAAGACACAAUGCAGAGCAGAUUAGCCAUUCGGGAAAGCCUGUGUGAAAGAGAAAGAGAGGGACCGAGAAGAAAGUACGGCGAGUUUUUUUGCGAGAAUUGAGAUUGGAGCGAAUGAGGAAAGCGGGAAGAAGGUGGGGGUAUUUAUGGAGAGCCCGAGGGGUGAGGGAAUCAAGAGAAGGCAGAGACCAGAGAGCCUGUAAAACAAUUACUCUGUAAUUAAUUCUCUCUCUCCCCCUCUCUCUCU
This 2660-nucleotide unclassified non-coding RNA is filed under the name Hevea brasiliensis (rubber tree). Lineage: Eukaryota; Viridiplantae; Streptophyta; Magnoliopsida; Malpighiales; Euphorbiaceae. The record is from RNAcentral.